CUAUUUAUUUAUUUAUAAAAUAUUUUACCAGGAAAGAUACAUUGAGAUUUCCCUUGUUUUCAAGUAUGUCCUGGGUCCACAAAUCAUUGCAUUGUUACAAUUAGGGUAAAGUAAAAUACAAAAACAAUAUUAAUACACAAUAUAUACAAUAUUUAACAUAGAGCAGGCAGGAAAUAUAUAAUCAAGUAUGUCACAAUGGUGAGUCCUGUAAUUACAUUGUAGCACAAAUCGGCAGAACGAGUUAUACAAUGUGUUGAGUUUAUUAAUGUGGGAUUGCGGUGCAGAUGCAUAUACUACAUCCCCAUAAUCAAUGAUUGGCAUCAGUAUUUGCAGUACAAUCUUUUCC
Molecule: non-coding RNA, 346 nt
Organism: Pelobates cultripes (western spadefoot toad)
Lineage: Eukaryota; Metazoa; Chordata; Amphibia; Anura; Pelobatidae
Source: the annotation of a GenBank genome assembly